Molecule: long non-coding RNA, 670 nt
Filed under: Rattus norvegicus (Norway rat)
Lineage: Eukaryota; Metazoa; Chordata; Mammalia; Rodentia; Muridae
Description: long non-coding RNA NONRATT010727
Source: RNAcentral
GGGAGCAGGUGAAUGGAGGGGAGGUACGCUGGACGUGGGAGGUAGGGAAGGCGUUUCCUCUGUCCUCCUUCUCUCACAUGGCUCUCCAUCUGCCCUCAGUGAGCAGUGUCCACCCAGCAUCCACAUUUCCAGCCAUCCAGGGUGCCUCACUGCCUGCUCUGAGCACACAGCCCAGCCCUCUGGUAAGCGGAGGUUUCCCACCACCCGAAGAGGAGACGCACAGUCAGCCCGUCAGUCCACACAGCCUGCACCACCUGCAUGCUGCCUACCGUGUUGGUAAGAAGUCCUUCUGCACCUACCUGCAGCCGGGUGAGGGUGAGGGGCUCUUCAUUUGUUUCCUGUGGGUCAGGUACCGAGGUGGGGGAGGGUGAAGGACAGAUCCUACCGUGUGCCUCUCUGUGUUCCCUAGGGAUGCUGGCACUGGAGAUGCUAGGUCGCCGGGCACAUAACGAUCACCCCAACAAUUUCUCCCGCUCCCCCCCUUACACUGAUGAUGUCAAAUGGUUGCUGGGGCUGGCAGCAAAGCUGGGUAACACCUCCCUCCCCAGGACCAUUGCCCCCAACCUGCUUCCCUUCCCUUCCCGUCCCAGACCUCCUUCCUAGCUCUUGCUCAGAGUUGAGGCCUUGGUCGGGUAUGUGUGCAAGCGCGAGGGGGUGGAGGGGUGGCUCU